This 253-nucleotide ribosomal RNA is filed under the name uncultured bacterium. RNAcentral's name for it is "partial 16S ribosomal RNA". It matches the Rfam family "Bacterial small subunit ribosomal RNA", at positions 524 to 776 of the family's 1533-position model. The record is from RNAcentral.
UACGGAGGGGGCUAGCGUUGUUCGGAAUUACUGGGCGUAAAGCGCGCGUAGGCGGCCCUGCAAGUCGGGGGUGAAAGCCCGAGGCUCAACCUCGGAACUGCCUUCGAUACUGCGGGUCUCGAGUCCGGGAGAGGUGAGUGGAAUUCCUAGUGUAGAGGUGAAAUUCGUAGAUAUUAGGAAGAACACCAGUGGCGAAGGCGGCUCACUGGCCCGGUACUGACGCUGAGGCGCGAGAGCGUGGGGAGCAAACCGG